RNAcentral lists this ribosomal RNA (253 nucleotides) under uncultured bacterium. RNAcentral describes it as "partial 16S ribosomal RNA". It matches the Rfam family "Bacterial small subunit ribosomal RNA", at positions 524 to 776 of the family's 1533-position model. The record is from RNAcentral.
UACAGAGGUCUCAAGCGUUGUUCGGAUUCAUUGGGCGUAAAGGGUGCGUAGGCGGCGCGGUAAGUCGGGUGUGAAAUCUCGGGGCUUAACUCCGAAACUGCAUUCGAUACUGCCGUGCUUGAGGACUGGAGAGGAGACUGGAAUUUACGGUGUAGCGGUGAAGUGCGUAGAUAUCGUAAGGAAGACCAGUGGCGAAGGCGGGUCUCUGGACAGUUCCUGACGCUGAGGCACGAAGGCCAGGGGAGCAAACGGG